GGGGAUUUAGCUCAGUGGUUUAAGCACCUGCCUGGUAGGCAUGAGGUAUGAGUUUAAUCCCCA
Molecule: transfer RNA, 63 nt
Filed under: Cavia porcellus (domestic guinea pig)
Lineage: Eukaryota; Metazoa; Chordata; Mammalia; Rodentia; Caviidae
Rfam family: tRNA
About the family: Transfer RNA (tRNA) molecules are approximately 80 nucleotides in length.
Source: Rfam by way of RNAcentral